RNAcentral lists this long non-coding RNA (15144 nucleotides) under Solanum tuberosum (potato). Its description in RNAcentral is "long non-coding RNA (STUB_LNC009425)". Lineage: Eukaryota; Viridiplantae; Streptophyta; Magnoliopsida; Solanales; Solanaceae. The record is from RNAcentral.
GGCCUAAGGUCUAAUGUGCCUAAUCUUUCUUUCUCAAUCCUUAACUUUGCUUAUUCUUUGAAAAGUUUCCAUCUUGAGGUGUGGUUGAGAGUUAAAAUGCUUCAUGAGACUGCUUGAGGACGCAGGGUAUGCAGAUUGGCCAGUUCUUUUUAAACCAAGAAAUCCAGUGUUUCCAAAUCCCAACACCGACUGGAUAGAUCAUGGACCUGCUCCUCUACCCAUUUCCACUCAAAUAUGAGACCUCGUUCACUAGUCAGGAUGUACGGUUACUACACAUUCCUCAUUGUACUACCUUUGCUAGUGAAGCAAAGCCCUGAUAUACAAAUUGGCCAGAUCUUUUUUCCAUUUUUUUGAGUAUUUAUUACAUUAUAAUUUACCGGGAAGUUUUCUGACCUUUCUCUCAUGCGUAAAACUUUUCUUUUUUUCAAUUUGUUGGUCUUUUAGACUUCUGUUUUGUUCUGUCUUAUGAUGCAUCACUUACUGUUUUCCUCCUUUUUGACUGUAAUGAGGAUGUAGCCAAAUUAUACCCAAAUUGGUGUUGGAAGACUUAUCAAGCUUAAUUCUGUUGUGACUGAAUGGUUUUUAUUUUGGGAUACAUAAGUUGUGAAAAAAUGCUAUGCUCUUGAGAUUUUUAAAUCUGCUUAUAUCUGUCAAAGGCAUCUUACAUUAUUUUAUGCCCUUCCACCUUCACUCACAUUAGGUUAUGCCCUUCUCUGUUAAUGGAUUCCCUUGGGCCACAAAUUUGAUUUAAUGAGAGAAAUGACAUAUUUAAGUUAAGCUCCAACUGGAUUAUCACAUCUUUGAUAAAUUAGAUAGAAGGAAAUAGCUCGUGCUUCUGUGUUAGCGCCUUAGCGUUACUGGAUAGGUUUGAUGUAUGCUUCCCUCCUAUUGAAAAGUACCUAUAUUGACUCAAAUGUACUAGAAGAAGGAGAUGUUAUUUCACAGUUUAGAUGCUUCUGGUUCUUCGGAAGAGUUUAAUUUAAUUGUUUUGUGAAUUCUAUUUCAGAAGGGGAUUAAUCACUAGGAAUGUCAAAGAUGCAGUUGACUUGUUUCACGAACGCUUUGGAGUAAGUUUUUUUUUUCCUUUUUCAGUUAAAUACAUAAAACAAUUGUUUUGGCAUGAGUUAUAUGUUGACAUUAUAUGCUGAAGUUAAAGAACAAAGUUUAUUGGACUUUCCAGAGGAAAAAAAAAAAGAAGACUGUGCUUGUUCUUCUAUUAGGGAUGAAACAAGAAUCGUCACUGCAUAGGAGAAGAAAGAGGAACAAUUUAUCUUCUUUUAUACCUUUAGUUUCUUUAGUUUGAAGUGAAGGCAAAUAGCGAAACAUAAUGGAUAUUCCAGCUUAAAUUUUUCUUCUUCACUCAUUACCAGUCAGGCAGUCAGAGGAUCAUGAACUGCUAAGGUCGUGAUGACCUAGGAUAUCUGUGCAGAAGGUGUGGUGGAGAAUGUGUAUGAAUUUUUUGGUAAAGGUAACUUUAUAUUCACAUCAAAACUCAUCAUCAAAACCUGAUGAGGUGGAAUUUACAGCCUCCAGGGGGUAAUUUCAAAAGCCAACACUGGGCAAAAACUUUACAAUUGAGCUGUAAAAUCCACUAGAGGAUGUAUGUUCACUGGAGCUAUAAAAACUUUACAAUCUGUAUGUUCUUAUAGUCAAAUAGAGAAGGGAAGCUCAACUAGAGGAUGUCUGGUUUCCCUCACAAUUAUGAUGGCAUGCUCAAUUCAUUUCUUUACAGGAUCCGCCUUGUGGCUGAACAAAGAUUUAAAAGAUUAUCUAAGGCUUUCUCUGUAACAUAACGUGGAAUUUAUGUAGCUGAAACAUGUAACACGGAGAGGGAGAAAAGGUGGACAAUACCCUCUUUCUGCUCUGUUAGCAAAACUAAGGGCACGAUAAGACUAAAUCUGUAAAUGAUAUUUAAAAGAAAAAUAAGUCAUUUUUCAUGAAAAGAAGCAUGCAAACCUAGUAAAUAAGCAGAGAUAUGCGUGAAGUUGCAGUGAUUUCAUUUUCUCAUCAAAAGUGAGAAAAGAACCCUGAAAGUUGAAAUAAGCCAAUGCAAAAUCGUUUUGAAUAGUCAGAAGGAACAGUCACUGUUUACUCCGUGGCUCUUAAAUCCAUUUCUUGCUUGCUUUUUAGUGGUUUUGCAACCGCAAAACUUUCUAGGAUGCUUAUGCAUUUCUUUUGGGAUAACACCUCUUUUCAGCAUUUAGGUAACAGGCACCAGCCAUGUAGUUUCUAAGAUAUAAGAAUAGUUGAUUGAUUCAACUGAGCUUGAUUUGGCUGGUCAAGCUCAACUUCAGUUCUAUGUCUGAGUAGACAAUUACUAUGCCAUGUAAAAUCCUGACAAAUGAUAGGAAGCACUGGGCACCAGUUAACAGUGCCGGUAUGGAUGUUCUCAAAGAAGGGUCCACUCAUGAGUGACAUUGUAGAGGAGUUUACAUUCUAGAUAAGUUGUGCAGACACUGGAUAUUUUGGAAAGAAGACACCAUAGGCAUAAAAACUGCACUGAUUGAAAGGUAAAAGAGAGGAAAUAAUACUGAAACAAUACGGAGCCUGCAAUUCAUAAGCUUUAAUACUUCAAUAAAUUUGCACCCCUUGUUUUAUGUGUGGUAUUUUUACACAUCCUUCUAAUAUUCAGAAGUAGGGACCCUAUUGCUUUGGUCUAAUGGUAUGACUGCAACAUGUGAUGUGUGGGUAUGUACACGUCAGCUUAGAAGUCCUAAUCUUACCCAGACAAAAGAUUGGUAAAUGGAGAAGGGUAGAGAGGUAGGCCCAUUAUCCACCGAGUUUCAAACUGUGUGCCACUGGCCUUCGAGGAUUUCUUGGUUAUUAAAAAAAUCAGAAGAAUGGAAAAAGGACAAGCCUCCCAAUCUUUUCUGUUUUCCAUCUGCGCGGACAUUAUCUGCAGUUAUUGUCUCUCAUUAUUUGGAAAUUUAAGAUGGUGUUUGGAUUGGGAAACAGUUUAGGGAGAAUUAAUCUUUGGGUAGGUUUCCAGAGAACAGUUUUCUGAAGUGAACAUAUCCGAGAGGAGGAAAUCUAAUAUGCAUAGUUGUGUCUGAGUCCAAGAAUGAGUGAACAAACUUCCCUUUCCCAUCCUAUUAUUUAGCAUCUUUCAGAAUGAAAGAAUAAAAGGUCAUUUGCUUUAAUUUUCUGGCCCCUUAGAAACUUGAAUUCUAACUUCUUGAAAAAAUGGAAGCUUGAAAUCUGAGGGAUUCUCCAGGUGUCUAAGGAAGCUUGAUGUUUGAGUGAAGUCUCCAGGUGUUCCACUCAUGGUUAAUCUCCUGAGAAAAGAAAUCUCUCCAUUUCUGCUAUAAUAUAUCUUUCACCUCAGCUCAUGCUAUACGUUUAGUUCCAUGGUCUUUAUUACGUAUACCAUAUAAAGCUCAAGUAUAGAAUCUCUUUUUGAUACAGGUGAAAUUUUCUCCUGCACUGAGCAGAGAAUAUCGUCCAUACAAACCAGAUCCAGCUCCAUUGCUGCACAUUUGUUCAACUUGGGAAGUUCAAUCUAAUGAAGUAAUGAUGAUUGGUGACAGCCUUAAAGAUGAUGUGAGUUUCCUCUCAAGCUGACUGCUCUUCUUCUCUUUCACGUCCACUCUUUGCAAUAGGUGACUCAAUGCAUCUCCAUGAAAGAUGUGUUAUUUUCCUUCACUUAGCUUGACUAAGUUCUUAACUAAUUCAUAUAGGUACUAAUUGUGCUUGGCAUAUGAUACUCGAAGCAAUUUUCCUGCUUGAUCUAACUUUUGUCUGAUCGUUAGCAGUUCUUAGCAUACGAGCUUUGGCUCCCACCUCUAAGUAGUUACUUUUAUGCUUUCUUUAGCCUUGUGAAAUUUUUUUCUUGUUCAUGCUCGUCAGUCGUCAUGCCAUUUAGAAAAGUCAUGGUAAAAUACUUAAAUAUGUGUUGUGACGUGUAAUGAAUAUUUGGGGGUUUGAUAUACAGGUUGCUUGUGGCAAACAAGCUGGAGCUUUUACUUGCUUGCUCGACGAAACAGGAAGGUAUGAUGCUCCAGAAUAUGCAAACGUCCAACACAAACCAGACUAUAAGGUGUCUUCUCUUGUUGAGGUUCAGUCACUUCUAGAAAGAGAUUUUGAGCUGACAUCUUGAUUUUUGCAAAUCUUUGGAACCCCCCUGGCCUGGCUGAGCAACGAGAUAUGGUUUACCCUCGUAAGCCCUCCAUGUAGCAUUCCUGCAUGCACGUUUCUUUUGGUUUCUGUAAGAUUACAGUAAUUAGAUUGCAGCUUUGCUCAUGUGAGCGGGAAUCUUUGAGAUGGUCUCAAGUCAUUCAUUUUUCAAGCCAAAAAUGGGGAAUAUGAGUUUUUGUUCACUCUUGGUGGUGAAACUGGUGAUUUACAGAGACUUUUAUCGAUUAGCCUGGUUCGUUGUGGGUGACAUAGUCACGAGACCAUAAAUGUGUUUUCGAAUGUAGUGUUCUUGUCAUCUCUUUGCUCGUAAUGGAAGCUCUAGCCACAGGUCUUGCACGCGAAUAGUAGCUAAGAUUUCUUAGGAAUAAUGGUACUUGUUAAUGCAAAGAUUUUCAGAAAUGAGACCAAGUUGGUCUGAGAGUUUUUUUCCAUCUUUUUUGGAAUCCCCGGACAACUCACAACCUCUGUCACAUCCUCUGCCGUGUGGAUUAAUCAUAAGUAACAAAUGUAACUUUUUUAUUUUUCAUUUUUUGAAUUCCUAUUCUAUUCCAUCAGUUAACAAUGUAGAUCAAAUUGCAUCGUUCAUAUGUACGUACAUUGGUGAAUGAACUUUAGCAAGUGUUCUUAAAUGCUCCUCUUUUUCUCAAUGAAGAAGUCAUGAGAAAUACUAGUAAGGAAAGCAUUGCAUAGCUAAGUAAUACGAUAGUUGAAGUACAAGAAAUUACAAAUAAUAACAAAAAUUGAAUAAUACUAAUACUAUUGGUUACCAUCAAGCUUAUUCAACUAGAAAAUGAGAUGACGCUUAAUUCAUGACAUUCAUAUCUCCUUAUCUAAAGUCAUAUCCUCGACAAAUAUGAUAUAUAUAAUUCAUCAAUUUUUUGAAGAUUCAUUGCAAGCAAUUAAUCGAUCGCUAAAUGUGCUUAAUCAAAUAUUACAAAUAUCAAAAAUUAAGAUAUUAUAUUUAUAUCAAUAUUUGAGGGACUAAAUGUGCAAAACCGUUAAAUUCAACCGCUAAGCAGCAAAAUUCUGUUUAUAUAUUGGCGCGCUUAAGCAGUUCCCUCUUCAAGAAAUCAGUUGAAUGAAAGAAUUUACAAGAAACAGAAAAACAGAGCAAAAUAUGACUUUCAGUAUCCACGGUUGCUCCGCCGUAUUCCACCACCCAUCUGCCACCGCCACCGCCAGCGUAGCUGUCUUCUCCGGUGAAAAUUGCAACAUCAUGAACAGUAGUACUGUCUCUCUGAAGAGAAAAUCUCUUUCACAGAUCUCUUCUCCUUCUGAACCCUCCCCGAAAAGGGUCUCUCUCAAUUCACCACCAUCCUCCACCGCCAUUGCCGCCGCUAAGGAUGGUCCAGACCCCAUUUCACCAACUACUUCACCAUCCCCUAAAAGGGUCACUCGUAAUUCACCACCACCCUCUGCCGCCACUGCCAUUGCCGCCGCCGAGGAUGGUCCGGUACCCAUUUCACCAAAAACUUCACCAUCCCCUGCAUUUUCACCCUUCUCCAAAAGGGUAUCUGAAAACUCACCUUUUGCCACCACCAACGCCGCCACUGCUGAUGCCACGGCGACGCCACCACCGCUGCCAUUUUCAAGAUUCACAAAAACGCAGCCGUCCAAUAAUAACAAAACUCUGCGUCGGACACUAUCAGAACCACCAAUUUUCGAUUCUUUUACUGAUUUCUGUCGUUACAUGAAUUCCCAGUCACCGGAAAACAGCAAGAACAAUCCAAUCUCUGUAAAAUCAAUUCUUCGUAGAUCAAUUUCUGAUCCCACUGCUGCGAAAAUUAUUCUUGCUCCGGCACCGGCAACUGCAACUCCGGCAUUGACUUCAGGAACAGGGCAUGAAAAAACUACAAGAAGCAAGGUAAAAUAAAUAGUCUUUUUCUUUUCUUUUUACAGUAAUUUUUGCAUAUUUUAUCGAAUUUUAAAAAUCUUUUUUACUUUCUCAAAUUUUAUAUCGAAUCUAUCACAUAAAUUGUUACGUAAGGUGUACAUGUUAACACUAUCUUAUUACUAUGUUUUAAGAAAUUUGAAGUUUAUGUCUAAAAAAUCUUUAUUCCGAAAUGAAGUUAUUUUCUGAAUUAGAAUAAAUUAUUAGUCAGAUUUCAACGUGAAUAAUAGUAACAAUUUUUUUUAUUUAAUCUUACUUUUCAUUUUUGUUUUUUCAAUUAUAGAAGUGUUAAAAGGGUGGAAGCUGCUGACUAAAUUGGCCUGCAUGAAGAUGGUUCAAGUCCAACAAGAAUUUUUCAUAUUUCAUACAAAAUAAUAUUCAUGAAUAUACUUUACAUGUUAGUUUUAGUGAAAUAUAUAGCUAGUGUUUUUUCCUCUUUUUUCUUUUUCUUUUUUUUUGUGUUCUUUUAAUUUGUUAAUAUCAUCUUAUAUGGAUGAUUUAGGAGCAUUUUGAUCAUGGUGAAUAUUGAUUUGAAAUGGACGGAUUAAAUUGAAUUCGAGCGAAUUGUAAGAAGUUGAGUUAAUAAAAAGAUGGAUUAGUGACUCGUUUAGAAAUUAUUUGGAUUGAAAAUUUAUAAGGGGAAGUACAACCAAAUAAUUCAUGUUGCAUGGAUUGCAUGUGGUGGUACUGUCGUAAUGAAUUUUAAUACUCAAUAUUUUAUAUUACUUCGUUCAUAUUAAUUUUACGUUAUUUCUAAAAAUUUGAAAUUCAUUUUUUUUUAGUAUCGUCUCAAGAGAAAGUACUUCUGAAUGGUUUUCGAUGAAUAUCAAAUUCAAUGCAGUGAGAUGUUUGAAAUCUUUUUACUUCUCUCAAUUAUAUAUACACGUAUAAUGUUUUUAUUAAUAAAAUAUUUCAUUGAUAGAUUAGUGAAAUUAAUUAAUGUUUCAUAAUCACAAUUAAGAACAUACCGCAUAUAUUAAGUUAGUAGUCACAUCACAUGUCACAUGUCAAAAGUCUUCUUCGUUGAUUACGAUUUACAUAUUACUAGUGCUAAUUUGUUUUUCAUCCCCCCUCCCCCCACUCCCACCCACNNNNNNNNNNNNNNNNNNNNNNNNNNNNNNNNNNNNNNNNNNNNNNNNNNNNNNNNNNNNNNNNNNNNNNNNNNNNNNNNNNNNNNNNNNNNNNNNNNNNNNNNNNNNNNNNNNNNNNNNNNNNNNNNNNNNNNNNNNNNNNNNNNNNNNNNNNNNNNNNNNNNNNNNNNNNNNNNNNNNNNNNNNNNNNNNNNNNNNNNNNNNNNNNNNNNNNNNNNNNNNNNNNNNNNNNNNNNNNNNNNNNNNNNNNNNNNNNNNNNNNNNNNNNNNNNNNNNNNNNNNNNNNNNNNNNNNNNNNNNNNNNNNNNNNNNNNNNNNNNNNNNNNNNNNNNNNNNNNNNNNNNNNNNNNNNNNNNNNNNNNNNNNNNNNNNNNNNNNNNNNNNNNNNNNNNNNNNNNNNNNNNNNNNNNNNNNNNNNNNNNNNNNNNNNNNNNNNNNNNNNNNNNNNNNNNNNNNNNNNNNNNNNNNNNNNNNNNCACUCCACUUUCCUCCAAAUCCACGAAAUUAGGAAUAUAAAGUUAACGUUUGGUCAUAAAUUUUCAAAAAAAUAAAUAGAUAUUGAGAUUUUGAUAAAAUUUGGAAUGAAGUUUUAGCGUUUUUGGGAAACAUAUAUAUUUCACUUUUUUAAAAAAAAUAAAAAAAUAAUAUUCGUCAAUUUACAAUUAGUUACGAAGAUUUACUGAUGCAAAUAAAUAAACAAUAACAACAAUAGUAGCUAGUUAGUUUUUAAUUGAAAUUUUUCACGUUUACGAAUAAUGUAUGCACGAUAAACAUACAUUUUCAGACUAUAUAAUCGAGAAAGUGAAGUAACAUUGUUACUCUCAAGAGUUGGGUAGAUAGAAUUAGAGUUUGGGCUAUAUAAACUCAUAAUUAAUGGAUUUUCUUAUUCUUAUAUAAAAUAUAAAAAUUUGAAGUAAUGUUUUUAAAAUUUUAAAAGAACUUAACAAGUUUUGGCCUAAAAAUAAAAUAAAAAUUGGUAGAUUUUGAUAUUCUUGCCAAAUCCUUUUUCCAAAACUUGACAAAUUUUAUGGCCAAAUAAAUUUUGCCAAAUUAUUUUUCAAAAAGUGCUUGCAAUAUCUAUGGUUAAACGAUCUCUUAUCACGUGUCUUCAUAUUUUUUUAUUGACCCCUCAAAAUUAUUGUGAUUCUCUUAUCUUAAUUUAUGUAACACCAUUUAAUAUGAUAAAGAAAAAUAAACACAUUUAAAAUUUAUGAUCUAAAAUAAACUUAUAAUAUUUACAUAGUUAUGAAUUAUUUCCUUAAUAAUAAAAGAAAAUUCUACGAUGGAAACAUUUUGUAUCAAGAGAAUGAAAAAAAUAAUCUCAACGUCUAAUUUACAUGAGAGGUACAUUAUGAAGUUCAUAUUUUGCAAAUAUUUUUUUUUUAAAUAGCUUUUAAAAGAGUAAAUUUAAUAAAAAGAUAAAAAGACAUGCUGGCAUAUUAUAUUUAUAGAAAAUACUUGCCGUUAUGAAUUAAAAUUGUAUACAUUUUAAGAAUUAUAUUCUCCAAAUUAGUUUCACUAUUUUGCAGAAAAAAUUGAAUCAAAUAAGUUUCUCUUUCCUUAUUUCGUGGGAUUUUAUUGGGUAGGUAAUGGCACGAACAUGUUUUUUUUUUUAAUAAUAAUUUUUUAUAUAACUUUUAAAUAUCCUAAAUUAAUAAUUAUUAUGAUCUAUAGUAUUUUUAUGUAGUUUAUGUAAACUUAAUUUCAAGAAUCUUAAAGAUAUUAUGUUCAAAUUAACAAUCAAAAUUGAGUUGUUUGUCUCUUAAAAUUUAAAUUGUGCCACGAGACAUCGAGAAUUAUACACUUUCAAUUAAAUUUUAAUUUAUUUUUACACGAAAUAUGAAGUGCCAUUAUGUAGAUAAAUAAGUUAUAUAAAAUAUUUAACCUUUUUAAUAAUACAUAUUACCAUCAAUUGAUCUAUAAAUUAGUCUUAACAAGACGUAAAAUUUCAUGUAUAUUUCAAUUGAUCAUGGUGUAUAUAAUUGAAAAAAAUUAACAUAUAUACUUUGUAAUAAAUAUAAAAAAUACAAAUAACAAAUUUCAAAUUUUGAAUCGAAAUAUUUAAUAAGAACAAUAAAUCAGGGGUUAAGGUGUUUUAAUUGAAAUAAGGUUUUAAGUGUGUAAAGAUGUGGUGCAGUGGAUAAAGUUGUUCCUCUCUUAAUCAGAAAUUUUGGAUUUGAGUAUGAAUAUUUUUUUGAAAUUAGAGCCCUACACGGUGCGAAUUUGAAAUAGUCGGACUUCAAUGCGGACCGAGCACGAAAGGCGCGUGUAGUGCAAACACCCAAUGUGGUACGUGAAUGGGUCCCUUCAAAUCUCCAUAGAAAAGAACUGCCAAAGCUGCUGUCCUAGGUAUAAGCUGGAACCCUCUUCAAUUUUCUUUAGAACUAUAUAAUAUAAUAUACUAAUAUAAUCCUUCUUCCACACAAAUUAGGAGAAAAAUUAUAAUUAAAUUUCUCUAUAAAAACAAAAAAUAUGUUUUCUAAUCAUAGUUAUUUUCAUCAUCUAGAUUUCUCUCUUCUCUAUGAUUAUCAUAUUCUUCAUCCCUUUCUGAAAUAUUCAGAAAAUCAUCCCAAAUCAAGAACCAAAAACUGGUAUUUUUCUCAUCUUCUUUGAAGUUUUAUUCAAGAAAAAAAAACACCCUUUUGCUUAAAAUCAUGAUUUGUUCAGUAGUUUCUAGUGGCAAUGUUCAAGAUUUCAUAAAAAUCCAAUCUUUAUCAUGUUGUCAGCAGCAAAAUCAUCUUUCUUCCAUGAACAUGACUUGUUCAGUAGUUUCUAGUGAAAACCCUUUACUACUCAAUGUACAAAAAUUCAGAAAGAUUCAAUCUUUAUCAUGUUGUCAGCAGCAAAAUCCUUCCACCAACAACACCAUUGACAAACCAUGGAAGCCCAAAAGUCAUCUGAUAAAGAUAUUAGAAGCCCCUCAAGUUGAAAAAGUUUAUUCUCCUAGUAAGGUCAAGAAAAAAGUGAUUUUUGAGGAGAAGAAUGGGGGUUUAUCUCAGAUGGGGAGUCAAUAUAUGGCAAUUUUGUGUGGGGUUGGGUAUUGGGUACAGGGUUUUAGGUGUUUUCCUUGGUUGGGUCUUAACUUUCAUAUGGCUAAUGGAAUGAAUAUGCAUCCAUCAACAUUGCAACUUGUGCAGUAUUUUGGGAUUUUACCAAUGGUUGCUAAGCCUAUUUUUGGAAUUCUGUCUGAUGCUGUUUAUAUUGGUGGUGCUCAUAGAAUACCUUAUAUUUCUCUUGGAGGUAAUAAUUUUUACUUCCCCUUUUGCAUUUGGUUUUGUUUGAUUUGCCAUAUCUUUGGACUUUGCUGCUAUAUUUGUUUCUUUUUAUCUUCUUCUGGAAUUUCAAGAUUUAGCAAUUUACCAUGUUUUUGUGUGUGGUGUUGGUGUUGUUUUGCUUCUUUUUUUGGGUCCUUUUGGCCACUUUUGUUUUGAUUCUGGUAUCUUUACUACAAAAGCAAAGAUGUUCCUUGAGUGUAAAGGUGGUUGGAAUAAAGUUAGUCAUCUCUUUUGGUUUCCUUUGACAAUAGGAAAAGUUUCUAUAGAUAAGAUACUGAUUUAGUAAAGCAAGUGAUACCCUUCCAAAUGCACUACUUGGAAGUUGAAGGUCACGAGAUUUAAGACAUUUGAAAGCCUCACUUUGUGGAGAGCAGUGACAGAUUCAAAAUAUAAAGUAAACAUAGUAAGAAACCAAGGGGGUUCAAUAGCUACUAUAUAUACAUAAAAUAUAAUUUUGACAGUGUAUAUAUAGUGUAAUUUUUUGAUGAAGGGGUACCGUAGCUCUGCUCCUGGGGGGGAGGACGGGGUACAAUGGAUGUAAUUUAGUGUAGCAAGUCAAAAGUUUAAGUACUAGAACCAUUGAAACAAGUUCUAAGUUUGAAGUGCACCUGUUUUACUUCCGCUGACUCUAAAUGUUACCGGGAUUUAUGAACACAGAUUAUUUAUCGGUAGGUUUGACAGUUCACCUACUGCAAACCAAUAAAGCUAAAGUUUUCGGUACCUGGAUGAAAAUGAUCCAAUAUGCAUUAAAACUUUCUUAGUUGAAUUACUUCUUUAGCAAAUUCUACUUAUCGAUCUUGUUCUUUUCUUAUUGGCUGUGUUUUCCUUUCCUUUUCUUAUUUUUUCUUUUUUUUGUGAAGAAGUUUAGGUGGUCGAGGAACUUGUAGUCCUAACUCUCUAUCUGUAUAUAUAAAGGUAUAUAGUAACGUACAAUGUAGAAUCCCUUUGUAUAAAUAUUGUACAAGCUCCUAAUAAUGUGCUGUUACAGUUCUCCUCCAGGUUUUGGCGUGGGGUCAAUUGGCAUUAACCUCAGCUGCGAGUGAAGCUCUUCCUGCUCUUAUGGCAUGUGUCCUUCUUAGCAACGUUGGAGCGUCCAUCACAGAAGUUGCCAAAGAUGCUCUUGUGGCUGAAUAUGGUCAAAAAAACAGAAUGCCGGGUCUACAGUCUUAUGCAUUUAUGGCUUCAGCUGCUGGCGGAAUUUUAGGUAACUUGAUCGGAGGAUAUUUCCUACUCAAAACACAGCAACCUAAGUUAAUGUUUCUAGCCUUUUCUGCUUUGCUUGCUCUGCAAUUAGUAGUAACUUCAGCUACCAGAGAAGAGUCCCUUGGUUUAGCUCAAUCAUCAAAUUAUUCCGUUGUUAGGGAACCAAUCACGGAAAUAUUUAGAAAACAGUAUUCGGAUCUUAUGGUAGCAGUUACAGAUGAAAGUAUUGCUCGUCCUCUUAGAUGGGUUGUUAUGUCAAUUUUAGCAGUCCCGGUCCUCUCCGGAUCAAUCUUUUGUUAUCAGACACAAUGCCUAAAUCUUGAUCCAUCAGUUAUAGGGAUGUCAAAGGUGAUAGGCCAAUUGCUGCUUCUUUCUUUGACAGUCUUUUAUGACCGGUUCGGCAAAAGGAUUCCAAUGAGAAAACUGAUUGGUAUUGUGCAGAUAACAUAUGCUGCUUCUCUUCUUCUUGACCUUGUACUUGUUAAGCAGCUUAAUCUCAAAUUGGGAAUUUCGAAUGAAUGGUUUGCUCUUUGCUUCUCGGGUCUAGCAGAAACUAUUGCAGUAUUUAAGCUCUUACCAUUCCAUGUGCUGUUUGCAAGUUUGGCUCCAUCAGUGUUUGAAGGAUCUCUCAUGUCUUUCUUGGCAUCAGCUCUGUGUUUUUCAUCAGUAUUUAGUGGUGUUUUAGGUGUUUCCUUGGCUACUUUCCUUGGUUUAACUCCUGGUAACUACUCGAGUCUGCAUAUUGGGAUUCUUAUCCAGUUUGUUGCGGCGUUACUACCACUGGGAUGUCUCAGUUAUGUCCCUAUGGCUCAACCUGCAGCUGAAAAGGGAAUGAAGAGAGGUCAAAGUAAAAGGACGAGAAAAUAUAGAAGGGUAGGGAGAGUCGUUGAUUCGUUCUAUUCUUACAGACGCAAAAGAGAAUCUGAUUUUGAUGAGAAUCCAUUACUGACUAAAUGAUCAGUCUGCUGCUUCAAGAAAUUUGUUCAUGUCCUAGUCUCAAGAGGAAAUGAUGAUGAGAACGGACGACUCAUGACUAGUCUCUGGUACUUAGUAGAACUCAUCUAUUGGUUCUUGUCAAGUUACAAUGAUGCAGUCUGUUUCUCUGAUUAUGUCUGAACUUUCAAGAGACAUAUCUUUUACUCGAGCAGAUUGAAGAAGGACGAUGUAGCCUUAUCCACGUUGUGUAAACUGUUGAGUUGCGGAGAGGCAAGAGAGAUAGUCUUUUCAAGAUCUCCAUAGGUAGUUCUCACUGAUCAGAGACUGGUUUCGAGUAGGAUCCCUCGCGCUCUAUUGCUAUUUGUAGAUGAUGGCAGCCUCUGAGUUUGUGGGAGGUUUGAGAAAAAUGACAAUCAAAGAGCAACUAUACUGAGAAGGACUAUUAUUUUCUGCAAUGGAAGGCUAUCUUUUUAGUUCCAUAGAGAGCUAAAAAAAGUAUAGUAGCAUUUGGUGAAUUCUUUUCAUCUGUUGAUGAGAGUUACUCGAUACGUGUGCUGGCGGAAGAUAGUAUGUCCUCGCUGAAAUAGUUGAGGUGUGCGUAAGUUGGUUCAGACACUACCAUAUAUAAUAAAAGAAAUGGGAGAGGAGAGGGUGUGCUUGUAAAGUUACUAAUUUUAAGUGAAUAAAUUACUUCCUCACUUUCCAUUGUGUACACAUUUUUAAAUAUAUUAUUAUAUGCUAAUCUUUAAUACAUUAAACAAAUAGCAAAAAAGUAAUAUUCAUGUGUUACAUUUGAAAGUAAUCUCAAAAGUUCUAGAGAAGAAGAUGUUCAUUAUUUUUUAAAAAAAUUUUACUAUGAAAAAUGGUGAAAGAUCACUUAUUUAUUAAAAAAAUUCACUUUUAUUUAGAAUGUUAUUUGUACACUUAAUUGAAACUUGAGAAGUUUGAUUUUGCAGGACUAGUACAACAAAUUUUCAAUAUAAACUAAACAUUAACACUUACAUAACUAUGCUACAUUUGAUUUAUGUUGUUGAGCAACGUUAUAAAUUUAUGUGUUAUUCUAUUCAAUUCGGAGAAUAACGUUACAUCAAUCGAUUUGGAGAAUAAUAUAUAAUUUUAUUCACCAUAUAACAAUUACCUCCUAUGAAUAUUCGAUUUUGACAUUAUUAUUUCACUUGUGCUCAUUUUUUUUCUUCUGUUCACAUUCAUAUAACUUUAGAUACAAUGUCUGAAGGAUCGUAUGAUAGAACCUCAAUCAUUUUUGUCUUGCUUGGAUUAUUUUAAAUGACCAUUUUUACUUGAACUUCAUGCGAAAAUGACUGAACACCAACCAUAUUUAACUUUUAAGAAGGGGAUACAAAUUAAAUGACGAUAUCAAAACAGACUCCCCGUCAAGUUUUCACUAUUUUAGGAGUUGUCCCUCAAUGAAAUACUUGGGCCCACAAAAAGCCCACAAUUCAGCCCAAUAAAGUUACAAUACGUAGCUUCCUCUUUCACACUUUUCCAGGUGUUAGAACACUGAAUUUUGUUCUAUAUUUUCUUGAAUAUCUUUCUGAAAUUUGCUAAAUUACUGCUCUCUACUCUCAUUCCUCUGAUUCUCAGUAAGUUUCCAUACCCAUUUUCUUCUUUUUUCACUUGGAAAUUCCUGUUGUUAUGAUUCGUUUUUUUAAAAAAGUGAAUUUUAGUACUGUUUCUUGAUUUUUUUGAUCUUGUUAAUGUUUAAGGGAAAUGUUAAAGAAAAAAUAUUGAAAUUUUAAUGGGUCUGUUUACUUUUAUCUGUCGGAAUUCCCCUUUUACUGUUUACUCUCUUCGUAGAACUUUGAGUUACUUGGUACGUGUUGCUGGUUGUUGGUAGGAGGUGGGGGUAUUUAGUGGAAUUAGUCGGGGUGUGCAAAAGCUGUACGGACACCAGUUAUCAAUUAUCAUAUAAAAAGAAGAAAACUUUGGCUGAAUUUGGUGAUUAUUUUUUAAUAAAAUUAUCUACUUUUGAGUCUUUUGGAAACAGGCCUCUCUACCUCCACGAAUUAGUGGUAAGGUUUGCAUACACUGAACACUCUUAGCUUUCAUAGACCUCACUUGUGGGAUUUCACUCGGUAUAUUGUUGUUGUUAUCUGAGUAGACCUUUUUUUUUGUUUGGUCGCAUUUGUGGGGAGGAGGUACUUUCUUUGGUAUGUUAAGAGUGCAUUUUACUUGUUAUUGCUUUCAGUUUUGGUUGUAGAAGACAAAAAAGUAUUGAGACUGAUAAUUCCAAUGUAAACAAUUUUACCUGUGGACAAUCCAAGGAGUAGGUGGAGAAAGGCUUAGAAUUUUACAAUCACAAAGCAAAACGAAAAUGUUGAAUAAGAAUAUGAGUAGCAAUACAUGUAUAAGAGUAUCUAAAGACAAAAAUGUUCUUACAAUAGGUAAUGCCUACGUUUUUGUUUGUUGCAUGCAUAACAGUUUCCACAUUAUUAUUCAGUGCAUGAAUAAACUCUGCAUUAUUCUCCCUCCAUAACUAAUCCGUGAAUCAAACAACCCCUUGAAGAUGGAUCCAGGAAGUUCAUUGACCUCCAUCGUGGAGGUUACUGUUUCUCAGAUCAUGAGACUGCUCUUUUGCUUUUCAACAUUUUUUUCC